GACGAACGCUGGCGGCGUGCUUAAUACAUGCAAGUCAACGAUAACCAGGGUGCUUGCAUCCUGGGGAAAGGUGGCGCACGGGUGCGUAACGCGUAGGUAAUCUGCCCUUAGGACUGACAUAACUCCGGGGAAACCGGGGCUAAUAUCAGAUAAUGCAGCGGCUCGGCAUCGAGACAGUUGUUAAAAGUCUUCGGAGCCUAAGGAUGAACCUGCGUCCCAUUAGGUAGUUGGUGAGGUAAAUGCUCACCAAGCCUGCGAUGGGUAGCUGGUCUGAGAGGAUGAUCAGCCACACUGGAACUGAGACACGGUCCAGACUCCUACGGGAGGCAGCAGUAAGGAAUAUUGCUCAAUGGGAGAAAUCCUGAAGCAGCAACGCCGCGUGGAGGAUGAAGGCAUAUUUGUCGUAAACUCCUGUAAGAA
This 420-nucleotide ribosomal RNA is filed under the name uncultured bacterium. RNAcentral describes it as "bacterial SSU rRNA". It matches the Rfam family "Bacterial small subunit ribosomal RNA", at positions 28 to 441 of the family's 1533-position model. The record is from RNAcentral.